UCUAGUGGCGGACGGGUGAGUAACACGUGAGAAUUUACCUUUAGGAGGGGGAUAACAAUUGGAAACGAAUGCUAAUACCCCAUAUGCUUUUGAGUGAAAUGGAUUUAUCCGCCUAAAGAGAAGCUCGCGGCUGAUUAGCUUGUUGGUAAGGUAAGAGCUUACCAAGGCGACGAUCAGUAUCUGGUUUGAGAGGACGAUCAGACACACUGGAACUGAGACACGGUCCAGACUCCUACGGGAGGCAGCAGUGGGGAAUUUUCCGCAAUGGGCGAAAGCCUGACGGAGCAAUACCGCGUGAGGGACGACUGCCUAUGGGUUGUAAACCUCUUUUUUCAGGGAGGAAUCAAUGACGUGCACCUGAAGAAUAAGCAUCGGCUAACUCCGUGCCAGCAGCCGCGGUAAGACGGAGGAUGCAAGUGUUAUCCGGAAUCACUGGGCGUAAAGCGUCUGUAGGUGGUUUAAUAAGUCAACUGUUAAAUCUUGAGGCUCAACUUCAAAAUCGCAGUCGAAACUAUUAGACUAGAGUAUAGUAGAGGUAAAGGGAAUUUCCAGUGGAGCGGUGAAAUGCGUAGAUAUUGGAAAGAACACCGAUGGCGAAAGCACUUUACUGGGCUAUUACUAACACUCAGAGACGAAAGCUAGGGUAGCAAAUGGGAUUAGAUACCCCAGUAGUCCUAGCCGUAAACAAUGGAUACUAGAU
Molecule: ribosomal RNA, 700 nt
Filed under: uncultured bacterium
Lineage: Bacteria
Description: bacterial SSU rRNA
Rfam family: Bacterial small subunit ribosomal RNA
Source: RNAcentral